This 1346-nucleotide ribosomal RNA is filed under the name uncultured bacterium. Its description in RNAcentral is "partial 16S ribosomal RNA". It matches the Rfam family "Bacterial small subunit ribosomal RNA", at positions 28 to 1381 of the family's 1533-position model. The record is from RNAcentral.
GACGAACGCUGGCGGCGUGCUUAACACAUGCAAGUCGAACGGAAAGGCCCUGCUUUUGUGGGGUGCUCGAGUGGCGAACGGGUGAGUAACACGUGAGUAACCUGCCCUUGACUUUGGGAUAACUUCAGGAAACUGGGGCUAAUACCGGAUAGGAGCUCCUGCUGCAUGGUGGGGGUUGGAAAGUUUCGGCGGUUGGGGAUGGACUCGCGGCUUAUCAGCUUGUUGGUGGGGUAGUGGCUUACCAAGGCUUUGACGGGUAGCCGGCCUGAGAGGGUGACCGGCCACAUUGGGACUGAGAUACGGCCCAGACUCCUACGGGAGGCAGCAGUGGGGAAUAUUGCACAAUGGGCGGAAGCCUGAUGCAGCAACGCCGCGUGCGGGAUGACGGCCUUCGGGUUGUAAACCGCUUUCGCCUGUGACGAAGCGUGAGUGACGGUAAUGGGUAAAGAAGCACCGGCUAACUACGUGCCAGCAGCCGCGGUGAUACGUAGGGUGCGAGCGUUGUCCGGAUUUAUUGGGCGUAAAGGGCUCGUAGGUGGUUGAUCGCGUCGGAAGUGUAAUCUUGGGGCUUAACCCUGAGCGUGCUUUCGAUACGGGUUGACUUGAGGAAGGUAGGGGAGAAUGGAAUUCCUGGUGGAGCGGUGGAAUGCGCAGAUAUCAGGAGGAACACCAGUGGCGAAGGCGGUUCUCUGGGCCUUUCCUGACGCUGAGGAGCGAAAGCGUGGGGAGCGAACAGGCUUAGAUACCCUGGUAGUCCACGCUGUAAACGGUGGGUACUAGGUGUGGGGUCCAUUCCACGGGUUCCGUGCCGUAGCUAACGCUUUAAGUACCCCGCCUGGGGAGUACGGCCGCAAGGCUAAAACUCAAAGGAAUUGACGGGGCCCCGCACAAGCGGCGGAGCAUGCGGAUUAAUUCGAUGCAACGCGUAGAACCUUACCUGGGUUUGACAUGGAUCGGGAGUGCUCAGAGAUGGGUGUGCCUCUUUUGGGGUCGGUUCACAGGUGGUGCAUGGCUGUCGUCAGCUCGUGUCGUGAGAUGUUGGGUUAAGUCCCGCAACGAGCGCAACCCUUGUUCACUGUUGCCAGCACGUUAUGGUGGGGACUCAGUGGAGACCGCCGGGGUCAACUCGGAGGAAGGUGGGGAUGACGUCAAGUCAUCAUGCCCCUUAUGUCCAGGGCUUCACGCAUGCUACAAUGGCUGGUACAGAGAGUGGCGAGCCUGUGAGGGUGAGCGAAUCUCGGAAAGCCUGUCUCACUUCGGAUUGGGGUCUGCAACUCGACCUCAUGAAGUCGGAGUCGCUAGUAAUCGCAGAUCAGCAACGCUCCUUUUAAGGCGUUCCCGGGGCU